This 468-nucleotide ribosomal RNA is filed under the name uncultured bacterium. RNAcentral describes it as "partial 16S ribosomal RNA". It matches the Rfam family "Bacterial small subunit ribosomal RNA", at positions 28 to 507 of the family's 1533-position model. The record is from RNAcentral.
GACGAACGCUGGCGGCGUGCUUAACACAUGCAAGUCGAACGGAAAGGCCCUGCUUUUGUGGGGUGCUCGAGUGGCGAAAGGGUGAGUAACACGUGAGUAACCUGCCCUUGACUUUGGGAUAACUUCAGGAAACUGGGGCUAAUACCGGAUAUGAGCUCCUGCUGCAUGGUGGGGGUUGGAAAGUUUCGGCGGUUGGGGAUGGACUCGCGGCUUAUCAGCUUGUUGGUGGGGUAGGGGCUUACCAAGGCUUUGACGGGUAGCCGGCCUGAGAGGGUGACCGGCCACAUUGGGACUGAGAGAGGGCCCAGAAUCCUACGGGAGGCAGCAGUGGGGAAUAUUGCACAAUGGGCGGAAGCCUGAUGCAGCAACGCCGCGUGCGGGAUGACGGCCUUCGGGUUGUAAACCGCUUUCGCCUGUGACGAAGCGUGAGUGACGGUAAUGGGUAAAGAAGCACCGGCUAACUACGUG